CCGACAUAAAAAAGUUAAAACUUAUCAAGAAUGCUCAGAAUAAUAUUUCCAUGAAAAGAUACUGGAUAAAGUGCAAAUAUCAAGGAUAUUCUACUAAUUUCAUGGAGUAUAGAAGCCAAACUUUAACAAAACAAGUAUAGAAUGAAGAUCAAAAUAUGGAUACAAUCAAUGUUAGUAACCAUAAUAGACAUCUGAGACAAAAAAG
This 205-nucleotide long non-coding RNA is filed under the name Panax ginseng (ginseng). RNAcentral describes it as "long non-coding RNA (PGIN_LNC011303)". The record is from RNAcentral. Lineage: Eukaryota; Viridiplantae; Streptophyta; Magnoliopsida; Apiales; Araliaceae.